GACGAACCGAGCGACCGUUGUUCGGAAUCACUGGGCGUAAAGCGCGCGCAGGCGGCAUACCAAGUAUUCAGUGAAAUCUCCCUGCUCAACGGGGAGGGUGCUGAGUAGACUGGUAAGCUAGAGGACGGUAGAGGGGGGUAGAAUUGCUGGUGUAGCGGUGAAAUGCGUAGAGAUCAGCAGGAAUACCCGUGGCGAAGGCGGCCCCCUGGGCCGUUUCUGACGCUGAGGCGCGAAGGCUAGGGGAGCGAACGGG
This 253-nucleotide ribosomal RNA is filed under the name uncultured bacterium. Its description in RNAcentral is "partial 16S ribosomal RNA". It matches the Rfam family "Bacterial small subunit ribosomal RNA", at positions 524 to 776 of the family's 1533-position model. The record is from RNAcentral.